Musa acuminata AAA Group (dessert banana) is the source of this 3062-nucleotide long non-coding RNA. RefSeq lists it as uncharacterized. NCBI's taxonomy places the organism in Eukaryota, Viridiplantae, Streptophyta, Magnoliopsida, Zingiberales, Musaceae. The record is from RefSeq and is a predicted model, not a curated record. The transcript has 2 exons.
AGAAGCCCAAAAGAUGAGUGUCCUCGCCAUUCUUGUUCGGUGUUCCUCAUGUGUCGCGCGAUCCCCUCUUCUCCGAGAAAGCUCUCGUCGAUGGUAGGCUCCCACGGACCCGACAAGGCCGUUCCUCCUUCCCGCGACUGCGGAUGCGCCGGGGCCGUGGCUCCGGUGGAAGCUUUGGGAACCUUGGUUCUUUGUUUUUUCUUCUCUUUUCCUUUUCUUUUGAUCGUUGUCGUUGUUAUAUUUUUUUCUCUUCUUCUUGAUCUAGGGUUAGGGUUAAUGUAGAUCUAGGGGGUCAGGAUACGACGGCACCGAUGGAUCCGACGAGGUCUCUGCGCCUCCUCGCGGCGGCGAAUAAAGUCGAGGCCCUGGCGGUAGUUACGGUGGAAACUAGGAAUCGAAGCUCUUAGUUCUUCUGCUUCCCUUUUCUUCUGAACGCCCUGGUUCUUCUGUUUUUUUUCAUUUUCUUGAUCUGGGGUUAUGGUUUGUGUAGAUCUAGGCGUCAGAUUCGUACGAUUUCGACGGACCUGACGAGGCCGCUCCGCCUCCCCGCGGUUGCGAAUACAGCCGAGGACGGGCUGAUGGUUACGGUUGAAACUAGGAAUCGAGGCUCUUAGUUCUUCUGCUUCGUUUUUCUUUUGCGCGUUCUCGUUCUUCGUUUCUCCUUUCUUGAUCUAGGGUUAGGCUUUGUAUGGAUCCAAGGGUCAGGUUCCUACGGCUCCGAUGGACCUGAUAAGGACGUUUCGCCUCCGCGCGGCGGCGAAUACAGCCGACGACGGGCCGGUGGUUACCAUGGAAACUCCAUGAAUCCUGGUUCUUGGUUCUUUCUUUUUUUUUUUUUUCUUUUCAACGUUCUUGUCGUUCUGUUUUUCCUUUUCUUGUCAAGCAUUUAUGCUUGUGUAUAUCUAGGGUUUGGUUCUUGGCGCGGUCUUGAUAUAGGUGGUGGCGAUGGAUACGGGGGCUGUGAGAUCUCAGUGGGGAAACAGGGGAGGUGGUAGGGGAUACCGAGGUGGUUACCGCGGUGGAGGAGAUGGUUGGGAAGGCGAUUAGCACUGCCCCACCCGAGGACGGGCCGGUGGUUACCAUGGAAACUCCAUGAAUCCUGGUUCUUGGUUCUUUCUUCUUUUUUUUUUUUCUUUUCAACGUUCUUGUCGUUCUGUUUUUCCUUUUCUUGUCAAGCAUUUAUGCUUGUGUAUAUCUAGGGUUUGGUUCUUGGCGCGGUCUUGAUAUAGGUGGUGGCGAUGGAUACGGGGGCGGUGAGAUCUCAGUGGGGAAACAGGGGAGGUGGUAGGGGAUACCGAGGUGGUUACCGCGGUGGAGGAGAUGGUUGGGAAGGCGAUUAGCACUGCCCCACCCGAGGACGGGCCGGUGGUUACCAUGGAAACUCCAUGAAUCCUGGUUCUUGGUUCUUUUCUUUUUGUUUUUUCAACGUUAUUGUCGUUCUAUUUUUCCUUUUCUUGUCAAGCAUUUAUGUUUGUGUAUAUCUAGGGUUUGGUUCUUGGCGCAGUCUUGAUAUAGGUGGUGGCGAUGGAUAUGGGGGCAGUGAGAUCUCAGUGGGGAAACAGGGGAGGUGGUGACCGCAGUGGAGGAGGUGGUUGGGAAGGUGAUUAGCACUGCCCCACCCAAGGACUGGCCGGUGGUUACCAUGGAAACUCCAUGAAUCCUGGUUCUUGGUUCUUUUCUUUUUUUUUCUUUUCAAUGUUCUUGUCGUUCUAUUUUUCCUUUUCUUGUCAAGCAUUUAUGUUUGUGUAUAUCUAGGGUUUGGUUCUUGGCACAGUCUUGAUAUAGGUGGUGGCGAUGGAUACGGGGUCGGUGAGAUCUCAGUGGGGAAACAGGGGAGGUGGUGACCGCAGUGGAGGAGGUGGUUGGGAAGGUGAUUAGCACUGCCCCACCCAAGGACUGGCCGGUGGUUACCAUGGAAACUCCAUGAAUCCUGGUUCUUGGUUCUUUUCUUUUUUUUCUUUUCAAUGUUCUUGUCGUUCUAUUUUUCCUUUUCUUGUCAAGCAUUUAUGUUUGUGUAUAUCUAGGGUUUGGUUCUUGGCACAGUCUUGAUAUAGGUGGUGGCGAUGGAUACGGGGGCGGUGAGAUCUCAGUGGGGAAACAGGGGAGGUGGUAGGGGAUACCGAGGUGGUUACCGCGGUGGAGGAGAUGGUUGGGAAGGCGAUUAGCACUGCCCCACCCGAGGACGGGCCGGUGGUUACCAUGGAAACUCCAUGAAUCUUGGUUCUUGGUUCUUUUCUUUUCGUUUUUUCAACGUUAUUGUCGUUCUAUUUUUCCUGUUCUUGUCAAGCAUUUAUGUUUGUGUAUAUCUAGGGUUUGGUUCUUGGCGCAGUCUUGAUAUAGGUGGUGGCGAUGGAUAUGGGGGCAGUGAGAUCUCAGUGGGGAAACUGGGGAGGUGGUAGGGGAUACCUAGGUGGUGACCGCAGCAGAGGAGAUGGUUGGGAAAGUGAUUAGCACUGCCCUACCCUAGGUCUAAGCAUGGCUGUGGAAAUCUAAAUUUUUCGCAGAUUGGAGUGCAACAAGUGUGGUGCAUUUUGAACCCAGUGCUGGCACUGGGAAUGGUGGCGGUGGAAGUGACAGCGAGAAAGGAGUUAUGCCGGAACUGUGGUGGUAGGAACGAUGAUUACAGGGGAAGAGAUGCUUGAUAUGCUGGACGAGUCGCUAUGGUGGCCCCAGUUCUUACCCUUCUCCGUAUGGAUCUCCUCCUCCAAACAGAUAUGGAAGUGAAUGUCUAGUAGCCCAUGGUGGACUAUCGUACAGCUAGAGGGGGCAUGGUGACCAUAUGAACCGUAGCCAUGAUAGUGUUGCUCCACCUCAUGGUGGAGGUGGUGCCCCUGUUGCUCCUGCUGUAGUUAAGCUAUAUGAUGACAAUUGCAGAGAAUUUUGUGAUAAAUAGUACUUACAUCUCAAACAGAUCUUUUGUAAUGGUAUGCACAGGUAUUAGUUAUUUUCUAUUUUAGUUUGCUUUGGUCUUUUUGUUCGCUGAGAUAGAGUGGUUAAUUAGGUCAUGUAACAGGACAAUGGUGCCUCUUUUUUGGAAAUAAAAUGUUGUUAUUUUGUAGUUA